This 268-nucleotide long non-coding RNA is filed under the name Manihot esculenta (cassava). Its description in RNAcentral is "long non-coding RNA (MESC_LNC004255)". The record is from RNAcentral. Lineage: Eukaryota; Viridiplantae; Streptophyta; Magnoliopsida; Malpighiales; Euphorbiaceae.
UCUUAACUGUUCAUAAUCUCAAGAACAACACCAAACAUCUACUCCAACAAGCCUAAGUAAUAAACUUCCAUGACAGAUUACAGAAUCAACCAAGUUUAAAACUUCAGAUAUACAUCGAAUUACUGCUGAAGAAAACAGAGGAUCAUCAACUUGGACGUCUGCCAUUUAUUUCUGAAAUUCUGAAAGCUUUACCUUAUCCAAGAACAAGGCAACGGAAGCUUGAUUGACACCAGCAAUUCCAUGACCAGGUGUUUAGGAUCAGGAUGCC